UACGUAGGGUGCAAGCGUUAAUCGGAAUCAUUGGGCGUAAAGCGCGCGUAGGCGGCUUCGUAAGUCCGUUGUGAAAGUCCAGGGCUCAACCCUGGAAUGCCGAUGGAUACUGCGGAGCUAGAGUCCGGAAGAGGCGAGUGGAAUUCCUGGUGUAGCGGUGAAAUGCGCAGAUAUCAGGAGGAACACCUAUGGCGAAGGCAGCUCGCUGGGACGGUACUGACGCUGAGGCGCGAAAGCGUGGGGAGCAAACAGG
Molecule: ribosomal RNA, 253 nt
Filed under: uncultured bacterium
Lineage: Bacteria
Description: partial 16S ribosomal RNA
Rfam family: Bacterial small subunit ribosomal RNA
Source: RNAcentral